AAGUGUUAUGGCUCUUUUAGAAUUUGUCCAGCAGGUUUUCCAAUACUCACUGAAAGAUCCUA
This 62-nucleotide small nuclear RNA is filed under the name Microcebus murinus (gray mouse lemur). RNAcentral's name for it is "U7 small nuclear RNA (ENSMICG00000047153.1)". It matches the Rfam family "U7 small nuclear RNA". Rfam says of the family: Animal histone pre-mRNAs are spliced by a different mechanism than nuclear pre-mRNAs and self-splicing introns. This processing involves the U7 snRNP, which contains only one RNA species: U7. The record is from Rfam by way of RNAcentral. Lineage: Eukaryota; Metazoa; Chordata; Mammalia; Primates; Cheirogaleidae.